Molecule: non-coding RNA, 22 nt
Filed under: Arabidopsis thaliana (thale cress)
Lineage: Eukaryota; Viridiplantae; Streptophyta; Magnoliopsida; Brassicales; Brassicaceae
Source: RNAcentral
UGCAACGCAGCUUCUCUGAGCA